AAAAUGGAAGGUGUUCAGGGCUCUACUAUACUUCUUGUCUAAUAAAUGUGCCAGAGAAACUUUCUAGGGAAAAUAUUCCCCAAAGUAAGCUUUUAAAAUGUUAAACCACGGCACUUUGGAAACCAAGAUAGAGAGCUUUGUGCCCUGGACCAUUUCUCUGUUCCUUUUUCCUGAGCUAAACCUCCUGUGUAACUAUGUCUUUGUUCUGCAGAGAUGUUUCAUGUUGCUGCCCGCCUGUCUCAGCAAUCAAAAGUGCACCGAGUCAAAGGUGCCCUUUGGAAAACAGUCUGGGUUACAAGAUCGUCCUCUGCAAAGCUGUCUGGAGUGAGUCAAACAAAUCUGAAAACAGUAAGUGUGCUGUUCAUGCCCUUCAGUCAGUAAAGACCUGGAGAAACCUGGCAGUGCUGGAACUUGCCAUGCAACUAGUGUGGGAAGAAAGAAACAACUUGACCCCAGAGGUAUUGCUUCCUCAUGUCCUUCUGCUUACCGACAACCUGGAGCGUCCUUGUUUUUCCCAGAGAGCCCGCAAGGUGUGGGAAAGUACUCAGAGCAGCCUUGGGAAUGCUGCUUCUCCCCAGCUCUCCUGUCUGCCUCUUGCUGGUACAAAGUCUCCAGCCACAAAGUCUGUUGGUGGCCCCUUGCCCAGCCACAAGCAGCUUCUGAGACAGGAGAUUAGGAUGCAGCAAUUUAUUCAUUAUAAACUCCCAGGACCCAUGCAGAACAGUUCCCAAAGCCCUGCACAUGAACGUCUCCCGGGAACUCGAGCAAGCUUUCAAUAGAUGGCCUACACCUGGCAUCAGCCUGAGGCAUGGGGAACACAAAAAGGACAGCCCACAUUAAGUUUCUGCCACUGGUUCACUCCUGCAUGGUGCCCUACCCUCAUGCUGUAGGGUGUACUUCUUUUCCUACUUUUCCUUGAACCAAACUCACUCUGCAGGGCCUGUUUCUUUUCCUACCUUUAAUAAAACUUUGUUACUGUUUGUGCUUGUCUUUACCAGUUCUUUGCUCAGGACAGAAAAAAACCUAGAAAUCACCUCCAGAAAGAGACUCCAGCACCCCAAAACCUGGUAACACUUCCCCAGAAUGCAACUGUGACCUCAGGAUCAUACAGACACUUGAAA
This 1121-nucleotide long non-coding RNA is filed under the name Chinchilla lanigera (long-tailed chinchilla). Its description in RNAcentral is "lncRNA (ENSCLAG00000025907.1)". Lineage: Eukaryota; Metazoa; Chordata; Mammalia; Rodentia; Chinchillidae. The record is from RNAcentral.